UCUGAGGCCUAUCCCGACAGGCUUUUCACAAUAGGGCCUUGUCGUUGGAAAUGCCUCAAACAUUAAUUCUGUAGCUUCGCUUUACCCACAUGGUUAUUGCAAUUUUCCAUUGUGGGAUAUUGCUACUGAACAAAU
Molecule: small nucleolar RNA, 135 nt
Organism: Lampris incognitus (smalleye Pacific opah)
Lineage: Eukaryota; Metazoa; Chordata; Actinopteri; Lampriformes; Lampridae
Source: RefSeq, a predicted model, not a curated record